GGGAUAUAGCUCAAUGGCACAGUGUCUACUUGGCAAGCACAAGGCUCUGAGUUCAAUUCUUAGUACCCA
RNAcentral lists this transfer RNA (69 nucleotides) under Cavia porcellus (domestic guinea pig). It matches the Rfam family "tRNA". Rfam says of the family: Transfer RNA (tRNA) molecules are approximately 80 nucleotides in length. Lineage: Eukaryota; Metazoa; Chordata; Mammalia; Rodentia; Caviidae. The record is from Rfam by way of RNAcentral.